Molecule: non-coding RNA, 75 nt
Organism: Myotis brandtii (Brandt's bat)
Lineage: Eukaryota; Metazoa; Chordata; Mammalia; Chiroptera; Vespertilionidae
Source: Rfam
GGCAAUUCUCAGGUGACACACCCUGGAAUCGGGGUCCCUCCUCUCUGGUUCCAGGUGCAUCACCCGAGAACCACA